RNAcentral lists this ribosomal RNA (380 nucleotides) under uncultured bacterium. RNAcentral's name for it is "bacterial SSU rRNA". It matches the Rfam family "Bacterial small subunit ribosomal RNA", at positions 28 to 404 of the family's 1533-position model. The record is from RNAcentral.
GACGAACGCUGGCGGCGUGCUUAACACAUGCAAGUCGAGCGAGAAAGCUCCUUCGGGAGUGAGUACAGCGGCGAACGGGUGAGUAACACGUGGGCAACCUGCCCUAGGGAGCGGGACAACCCGAGGAAACUCGGGCUAAUACCGCAUGAUUCGUCAUGUCUCAAGGCAUGACGGGAAAUGGUAGCUUCGGCCUCCGCCCUAGGAUGGGCCCGCGGCGCAUUAGCUUGNGGUGUGGUAACGGCUCACCAAGGCGACGAUGCGUAGCUGGUCUGAGAGGACGAUCAGCCACACUGGGACUGAGACACGGCCCAGACUCCUACGGGAGGCAGCAGUGGGAAUCUUGCGCAAUGGCGGAAGCCUGACGCAGCAACGCCGCGUGA